UAGUACACUACCUCUCAAGCUCUCUUGUACAAACACUCUUGUAAUUAUUCAAAGUGAAAUACAAUCAUCUUUGGCCAUUCCACUCUUAUUUCCCUUAACAUUUUCUCCAAGUGUGUGUGCUUGGCUUGUUUAGGGAGUAAUCUAGGCUUACUUGGCGACUCACACGCUAAGGUCGCUCAAGUGCCGCACGGGAACUUACUGCGCAAAACUAUCACCCCGUGACAAGUGGUAUCGGAGCUACGGUUUGCACCCACACGCAAACUAGCUCAUAGACGAUGGCCAAUCCUUCCAGCACAUUGCAAGAGGACGCACUCAGUGCGGAGGUACAGGAGCAAGCUCGUGGCCGCGAGGAGGGAGGACGCGGACAACCAAAGUCCCGAGGUAAGUCCAAAGCCCCUUCUAUGGAUGCAUUGGAACCUCGUGUUGCCACGCUCGAAACGUCAAUGGCCGCUGUCCAAGACACCCUUGAUACAUUAGAGGAGCGAGUCGAUGGCCUUGAGGGCGAAUAUGGCGAAUUCACUGUAGCCACCAAAGCCCUUAUGCAAGACCAAGCCGACUCUCUCCAAGGGGAGUUUCGAGCGUUCCAUGACGAGCUGCUCAACCUGCGUACCUUCGUGCAAAAUGAGUUGCGUGCAGUCCGUGCGGAGGUUGACGAGGUCCGCUCGGAUUGGGCUUGGCACAAGCGCACACUCACGCUUAGCCCGGCUGCGGUUCUCGCAAGCUUGAGUGAUGAGCGUCGCAUUGACGUGCCCAAGCCCGAUACUUAUGAUGGUGCGCGCAAUGCCAUUGUGGUGGAUAACUUCCUGUUUGGGCUAGAACAAUAUUUCGACGCGAUGGGUGUCCGAGAUGAUGCGCAAAGGUAGGCACCGCGCCUACAUUCCUCCGAGGCUCCGCGCAACUAUGGUGGCGGCAGAAAAACGGUGAGAUGGGCAAGGGCAUUUGCGCCAUCAGCACAUGGGCCGAAUUUCAGCAGGAACUUCGCAAGCAUUUUGCCCCAAGCAAUGCGGAGAAGGAAGCACGAGCGCGGUUACGUCGGCUCAAGCAAACGGGUAGCGUCCACGAUUACAUCAACGACUUCACCACCCUUAUGCUUGAGAUUUAUGACAUGUCUGAUAAGGACUCUCUUCUACUUUCAAGACGGAGCUUGAUAGGCGUGGCGUGCAAACUCUCGACGAUGCCAUUGCCAUUGCGGAAUCACUCUCCGAUUACUCCGCCCAGCCCAAAGACAAGAGGCCUAGCCAUGGCAAAGGUGGGGGAGAGGGCCGAAAGGACAAAGGCCGCAACCGCAAGGAAUGGGGACAGAAAAAGCCUCCAAGCGGCAAGAGCGGGCAGGCAAGACAGAAAAACAGCAGCCGCCAAAGCCUCGAAGCCCAUGUUUCAUUUGCAAUGGCCCUCAUUGGGUGCGCGACUGUCCAGAGAAAAAGUCGCUUAGCACCCUUGCCGCUCAGCUCAAGGGCGACUCUCCAUCGACACCGGAAGAACCCCAACCUAGAGUGGGUUCCCUCAAACGCCUUGGAGCGCUUGAAAGCCAUCCGCCCAUAGCCACGAGGAAAGGGCUCAUGUAUGUGAACACCACAGUUAAUGGGCAAGCUGUUCGGGCAUUGCUCGACACCGGAGCCACCCACAACUUCAUCUUGGAAGAAGAGGCUAAGAGCCUAGGCCUAAAGGUGACAAAGGACGGAGGCACAAUGAAGGCGGUAAACUCACCCGCCAAGCCCAUUGCUGGCACCGCACAAGGAGUGCGCGUUACUCUUGGAACGUGGAGCGGAAAGCUCGACGUCUCGAUCGUGCCCAUGGACGACUUCAAGAUGGUCCUCGGUAUGGAGUUCUUCGACCGAGUUCAUGCAUUUCCACUGCCGGCCAUGAACUCCAUAAGCAUCCUCGAUGGGAGUAUGGCAUGCAUGGUUCCAGCCAAGCGCUCGAAGACUGCGGACAAGGCGCUCUCCGCCAUGCAGUUCAAAAGGGCUUUUCGGAAGGAUCCUAGCUUCUUGGUCUCCAUCCGGGAGGUGAAUAAUGAAGAAGAUCAAGAAGACUUGCCAAGCCAACCUCCUCCACUCAUCCAAUCAGUCCUUGACGAAUUCAAGGACGUCAUGCCUCCGAAGCUCCCACCAAGUCAAGAGGUGGAACAUGAGAUUGAGCUAGAGCAAGGCGCGAAGCCGCCAGCCUUAGCGCCUUACCGCAUGGCGCCACCCGAGUUAGAAGAGUUGCGGAGGCAACUCAAAGACUUGCUUGAUGCGGGCUACAUCCGCCCUUCCAAGGCCCCGUUCGGUGCACCGGUACUUUUUCAAAAGAAGAAGGAUGGAUUUCUACGCAUGUGCAUCGACUAUCGGGCGCUCAACAAGAUUACAAUCAAGAACAAGUAUCCGAUCCCCUUGAUUGUGGACUUGUUCGAUCAACUCGGCAGCGCGCGGUACUUCACCAAGCUCGACCUACGGUCCGGGUACUACCAAGUGCGCAUCGCCAAGGGUGACGAACCAAAGACGACGUGCGUGACCAGGUAUGGCUCUUUCGAAUUUCUUGUUAUGUCGUUUGGUCUCACCAAUGCACCGGUGACAUUCUGCACUCUCAUGAACAAAGUUCUCCAACCGUUUCUCGACCGUUUUGUUGUGGUGUACUUGGAUGACAUUGUGGUGUACAGCACCACACUCGAGGAACAUGCCCAACACUUACGGCAAGUUCUCCAAGUACUACGCAACAAUGAACUCUACCUCAAGCUGGAAAAGUGCUCGUUUGCCCAACGAGAGGUGGAGUUUCUUGGCCACAAGAUAGCGGACGGGAAACUCAUGAUGGAGGACACGAAAGUAAAGGCUAUACUUGAAUGGAAACCUCCCGCCAAUGUACCCAAACUCCGGUCUUUUCUCGGGCUAGUGAACUAUUACCGCCGCUUCAUCAAAGGGUAUUCGGCUAAAGCGGCACCCUUGACCGAACUAUUGAAGAAGAACCGCACGUGGCAUUGGUCCAAGGAAUGCCAACGCGCUUUCGGAGAAUUGAAGAAGGCUAUUUUCGAACAGCCCAUCCUCGCACUUCCAGACCAUACAAAGCCAUUUGAGGUUCAAACUGAUGCCUCCGACUUUGCCAUAGGUGGAGUACUCAUGCAAGAAUGUCACCCCAUAGCGUUCGAGAGCCGGAAGCUCAAUGACACGGAACGCCGCUACACCGUGCAAGAGAAGGAGAUGACAGCCAUUGUCCAUUGCCUACGUGUGUGGCGACACUACUUGCUUGGCUCACACUUCGUGAUCUUGACAGACAACGUAGCCACGAGCUACUUCCAAACACAAAAGAAGUUGAGCCUCAAGCAAGCUAGGUGGCAGGACUUUCUUGCGGAAUUUGAUUAUAGGCUCGAUUACAAGCCCGGAAAAGCCAACGUUGUUGCGGAUGCUCUAAGUCGCAAGCGGAGUUGGCUACACUUAGCAUGAGCCAGCCAAAGUCCGAUCUCAUCAUGCGCAUCAAGGAAGGCCUUCAACAAGAUCCAUUGGCGAAAGAUUUGUUGGACAAGGUGCUUGAAGGGAGGACGAGACGAUUUUGGCAAGAGGAAGGCAUCCUCCUCACCAAGGGAGACCGACUAUUUGUACCAAGGUGGGGAAAUUUGCGACGAGAGGUGAUCAAGGAUUGCCAUGAUUCGAAGUGGGCUGACCACCCCGGAGUAGAGCACAUGACCGCACUCGUCCAAGCCUCCUACUUUUGGCCACACAUGAGGGAUGACAUUGAGGCCUACGUGCGGACAUGUCUCGUGUGCCAACAAGACAAGGCGGAUCGCCAACUUCCGGCGGGACUAUUGGAGCCUUUACCAACAGCAUCAAGACCAUGGGAGAGUGUCACCAUGGACUUUAUCUCGGCCUUACCCAAAUCCGAGGGGUGUGGAAGCAUCAUGGUGGUAGUCGACCGCUAUAGCAAGUAUGCAACUUUCAUCGCCGCACCGACCGAUUGCAAAGCGGAUGAGGCUGCCCGCCUAUUUGUCAAGCACAUCAUCAAACUUUGGGGAGUUCCAAAAAGCAUCGUGAGCGACUGGGAUCCACGCUUCACCAGAUGCUUUUGGACGGAGCUCUUCAAGAUGUUGGGAACCGACCUCAAGUUCUUAACAAGCUUUCAUCCGCAAACGGAUGGACAAACCGAGCGCAUCAAUAGCCUACUCGAGAUGUAUCUUAGGCAUUAUGUGAGCGCUCACCAGCGAGAUUGGGUGAAGUUGCUGAACGUUGCCCAAUUCUCAUACAACCUACAAUGGAGCGAGGCUACGGGCAAGAGUCAAUUCGAGAUCAUCAUGGGAUUUCAGCCGACGACGCCCAACGCCAUAGCCUCGACCUAUGAAGGAAAGAGCCCAGCAGCCCACAAACUCGCUCACGAAUGGCAUGAAGAAGCGGAUAUCACGCGAGCAUAUCUCGACAGGGCCGCUCAGAGAAUGAAAAAGUGGGCUGACUCAAGGAGACGCCACGUCGAGUACAAGGAAGGCGACCAAGUGAUAGUGAAGCUCCUACCCCAACAGUUCAAGACAUUGCGGAAAGUCCACAAAGGGUUAGUAAGACGAUAUGAAGGGCCUUUCGAAGUAGUUCGACGCGUGGGCAAAGUCUCCUACCAACUCCAACUUCCACCAAAACUCAAGAUCCAUCCGGUCAUCCACGUGAGCUUGCUCAACCCAUACCACGGAGACAUGGGAGAUCCAAGCCGAGGCAAGUCAAGACGUGCCUCAACCGCCGCUGUCACCGCUAUUGACAAGGACAUGGAGUACAUUCUUGCGGAUCGAGUAAUCCGAAGACGAGGCAUACCGGCUUACUAUGAGUACUUGGUGAAAUGGAAGAACCUCCCCGAGAGUGAAGCAACAUGGGAGCGCGAAGACGAUCUAUGGCAAUUCGCGGAACAUGUGCAGCUCUACAAGCACAACAACGCGACGAGGACGCCGCGAACAUAGGUGGGGGAGGAUUGUCACGGGCUCGCUUGACGCUCAAGGUGGAUACACUUAGAAGUGGGGGUUAACUUAGAAAUUGGGCCACCAAGACAACUAACGGCCACCAAGACAACUAACUAACGCUCAAGGUGGAUACACUUAGAAGUGGGGGUUAACUUAGAAAUUGGGCCACCAAGACAACUAACUAGCUGGGGUGCACUUAGCAAAUCCCCCACCAAGGCCCAAAGUCUAGAACUCUCUACAUAUUACCCAUUCACUAGAACUUUCUAGGACUCAGCACUUGGGUCCCCAAGCAUUUUGCCACUUGUAAUAGAAUUCUCUAGAACUAGGCAUUCCUCCCCCUAUAAAUAGGGGUGAGCAUCCAUCAUUCUCAUCACCACCAACACACCCACACAACACACCUAGCACACUAGCUCUCAAGCUCUCUUGUACAAACACUCUUGUAAUUAUUCAAAGUGAAAUACAAUCAUCUUUGGCCAUUCCACUCUUAUUUCCCUUAACAUUUUCUCCAAGUGUGUGUGCUUGGCUUGUUUAGGGAGUAAUCUAGGCUUACUUGGCGACUCACAUGCUAAGGUCGCUCAAGUGUCGCACGGGAACUUGCUGCGCAAAACUAUCACCCC
RNAcentral lists this long non-coding RNA (5520 nucleotides) under Citrus sinensis (sweet orange). RNAcentral describes it as "long non-coding RNA (CSIN_LNC005200)". The record is from RNAcentral. Lineage: Eukaryota; Viridiplantae; Streptophyta; Magnoliopsida; Sapindales; Rutaceae.